AUGACCGUACUUACACAGGAUCUUUUCUAUAGUACCUUCUUUUCUACUUGGUUUUCCAUUGUAGACAACCUCAAUAACUUUGAUGAUCGUAUUAGACCCUGCUCAUUGACUCGGGAUGUCGAGACGGCCGAAAGUCCUCUUUUGGACUGGAUGCCUCUCCUUGAUGAACGUCCGCUGUCGCUAUUCCAAGGCAGCGUGAGUGAGCACGGGUAAUAUGAGAAGUU
This 224-nucleotide small nucleolar RNA is filed under the name Globisporangium iwayamae DAOM BR242034. Its description in RNAcentral is "aCEA small nucleolar RNA U3". It matches the Rfam family "Small nucleolar RNA U3". From Rfam's summary of the family: Small nucleolar RNAs (snoRNAs) are involved in the processing and modification of rRNA in the nucleolus. There are two main classes of snoRNAs: the box C/D class, and the box H/ACA class. The record is from RNAcentral. Lineage: Eukaryota; Oomycota; Peronosporomycetes; Pythiales; Pythiaceae.